Non-coding RNA from Potamilus streckersoni, 83 nucleotides. The record is from the annotation of a GenBank genome assembly. Lineage: Eukaryota; Metazoa; Mollusca; Bivalvia; Unionida; Unionidae.
UCCUUUCCCGUGGCAUAGAUGAUUAUAGCGUCCGCCUCGGACGUGGGAGGUCGCGGGUUCGAUCCCCGGCCGAGGCACACGAA